Molecule: long non-coding RNA, 1218 nt
Filed under: Pan troglodytes (chimpanzee)
Lineage: Eukaryota; Metazoa; Chordata; Mammalia; Primates; Hominidae
Description: long non-coding RNA NONPTRT014671
Source: RNAcentral
UCUUUAUUUUAAUUAGAUCCCAUUUGUCAAUUUUAACUUCUGUUGCCAUUGCUUUUGGUGUUUUAGUCAUGAAGUCUUUGUCCAUACCUAUGUCCUGAAUGGUAUUGCCAAGGUUUCCUUCUAGGGUUUUUACGGUUUUAGGUCUUACAUUUAAGUCUUUAAUCCAUCUUGCCCCAUUGCUUGUUUUUGUUGGGUUUAUCAAAGAUCAGAUGGUGUAGAUGUGUGGUGUUAUUUCUGAGGCCUCUGUUCUGUUCCAUUGGUCUUUAUAUCUGUUUUGGUACCAGUAACAUGCUGUUUUGGUUACUGUAGACUUGUAGUAUAUUUUGAAGUCAGGUAGCGUGAUGCCUCCAGUUUUGUUCUUUUUGCUUAGGAUUGUCUUGGCUAUGCAGGCUCUUUAUUGGUUCCAUAUAAAAUGUAAAGUAGUUUUCUCCAAUUCUGUGAAGAAAGUCACUGGUAGCUUGAUGGGGAUAGCAUUGAAUCUAUAAAUUACUUUGGGCAGUAUGGCCAUUUUUAUGAUAUUGAUUCUUCCUAUCUGUGAGCGUGGAAUGUUUUUCCAUUUGUUUGUGUCCUCUCUUAUUUCCUUGAGCAGUGGUUUGUAGUUCUCCUUGAAGAGGUCUUUCACAUCCCUUGUAAGUUGUAUUCCUAUUUAUUUUAUGCUAUUUGUAGCAAUUGUGAAUGGUAGCUCACUCAUGAUUUGGCUCUCUGUUUGUCUGUUACUGGUAUAUAGGAAUGCUUGUGAUUUCUGCACAUCAAUUUUGUAUCCUGAGGCUGCUGAAGCUGCUUAUCAGCUUAGGGAGAUUUGGGGCUGAAACGAUGGGGUUUUCUAAAUAUACAACCAUGUCAUCUGCAAACAGAGACAAUUUGACUUCCUCUUUUCCUAAUUGAACAUUCUUUAUUUCUUUCUCUCGCCUUAUUGCCCUCGCCAGAACCCCCAAUACUAUGGGAGUGGUGAGCAAGGGCAUCCAUGUCUUGUGCCGAUUUUCCAAGGGAAUGCUUCCAGUUUUGCCCAUUCAGUAUGAUAUUGGCUGUGAGUAUGUCAUAAAUUGCUUAUUAUUUUGAGAUAGGUCUCAUCAAUACCUAGUUUAUUUAAUUAAGAGUUUUUAUCAUGAAGGGGUGUUGAAUUUAGUCAAAGGCCUUUUCUGCAUCUAUUGAGAUAAUCACAUGGUUUUUUCAUUGGUUCUGUUUAUGUGAUGGAUUACAUUUAUUGAUUUGCAUGGG